This 501-nucleotide ribosomal RNA is filed under the name uncultured bacterium. RNAcentral's name for it is "partial 16S ribosomal RNA". It matches the Rfam family "Bacterial small subunit ribosomal RNA", at positions 30 to 523 of the family's 1533-position model. The record is from RNAcentral.
AUUGAACGCUGGCGGCAGGCUUAACACAUGCAAGUCGAGCGGGGGAAGGUAGCUUGCUACCGGACCUAGCGGCGGACGGGUGAGUAAUGCUUAGGAAUCUGCCUAUUAGUGGGGGACAACAUCUCGAAAGGGAUGCUAAUACCGCAGACGUCCUACGGGAGAAAGCAGGGGAUCUUGGGACCUUGCGCUAAUAGAUGAGCCUAAGUCGGAUUAGCUAGUUGGUGAGGUAAAGGCCUACCAAGGCGACGACCUGUAGCGGGUCUGAGAGGAUGAUCCGCCACACUGGGACUGAGACACGGCCCAGACUCCUACGGGAGGCAGCAGUGGGGAAUAUUGGACAAUGGGGGGAACCCUGAUCCAGCCAUGCCGCGUGUGUGAAGAAGGCCUUAUGGUUGUAAAGCACUUUAAGCGAGGAGGAGGCUACUCUAGUUAAUACCUAGGGAUAGUGGACGUUACUCGCAGAAUAAGCACCGGCUAACUCUGUGCCAGCAGCCGCCGUAA